This 464-nucleotide ribosomal RNA is filed under the name uncultured bacterium. RNAcentral's name for it is "partial 16S ribosomal RNA". It matches the Rfam family "Bacterial small subunit ribosomal RNA", at positions 28 to 507 of the family's 1533-position model. The record is from RNAcentral.
GACGAACGCUGGCGGCGUGCUUAACACAUGCAAGUCGAACGGUAAGGCCCUUUCGGGGGUACACGAGUGGCGAACGGGUGAGUAACACGUGGGUGAUCUGCCCUGCACUUUGGGAUAAGCCUGGGAAACUGGGUCUAAUACCGGAUAGGACUACGCGAUGCAUGUCGUGUGGUGGAAAGCUUUUGCGGUGUGGGAUGGGCCCGCGGCCUAUCAGCUUGUUGGUGGGGUGAUGGCUUACCAAGGCGACGACGGGUAGCCGGCCUGAGAGGGUGUCCGGCCACACUGGGACUGAGAUACGGCCCAGACUCCUACGGGAGGCAGCAGUGGGGAAUAUUGCACAAUGGGCGCAAGCCUGAUGCAGCGACGCCGCGUGGGGGAUGACGGCCUUCGGGUUGUAAACCCCUUUCAGCACAGACGAAGCGUAAGUGACGGUAUGUGCAGAAGAAGCACCGGCCAACUACGUG